RNAcentral lists this non-coding RNA (153 nucleotides) under Actinomycetota bacterium. RNAcentral's name for it is "6S RNA". It matches the Rfam family "6S / SsrS RNA". From Rfam's summary of the family: E. coli 6S RNA was the first non coding RNA to be sequenced, but its function was unknown until recently. It consists of 184 nucleotides that fold into an extended hairpin structure with a large single-stranded internal bulge. The 6S RNA specifically associates with RNA polymerase holoenzyme containing the sigma70 specificity factor. The record is from RNAcentral. Lineage: Bacteria; Bacillati; Actinomycetota.
GCGGCUCGAGCCUGUACGCCAGCCGUGUUGAUUUGAGCCAACACACUGGGAACGGGAGCCUGGAUCAGGGGCGCGCCGUGGCUCGCCCCGCCGGGCACCCACUUGCGACAGCAAGGUUCAAACCCGUGACGGCAGCGGCAGGCUGGGGCCACC